AUUUGGUUGCUCCGCCAAUAGCUCGCCCCGUCUCGAUCUUAAUCCGGCACUUGGGAAGUAUCAGGACAUGGAACAGUGUUUCCCGCUCAGUGAGUCUUGGGUGACACUAUACAGAAACUACCCAUGGGAUCCAUUUUUCGGCGGCAAUGCAACGUGCAUCAAGGAGACCCAAACAGGUCCAGCAGUUAACGGAGCGUAUCCGCUUCUCUCACAAUAUGGAGACUAGUCAGCGAAACACCUCCAUUGAUAUUUACGUUGCUUACGCUGACUGCCAAAAUUGUGUCAUUCUCAGGAAAACAUACGUGAAUGAUAACGCAUGCGGUCUUCUUGUUGCCGAGAGCCAAGUGGAUAAAGAUAUUACAUGCUGUGAUUUCAUCUUCGAUCUUCUUUGUGGUACUACACCAAAGUACAACCUCUGGGACGACAGCUGCCAGACAUAAAACUGGUGUACUUAUCUUGUAAAUUCUUUCAUUACACAAUGCGAAAACUUUGCAUGGAGACAUAUGCAAUCUAAAAUAUAAACCCCUCCAUAAGUCCGUAACAAUAAACGUUUAUAUUUCUCUAUACCGAUUAGGUGAGAAGAAUACCAAGCCGUAUUGUAUUCAAACAGUCGUAUGAUCCCAAAAACAAACGAUGUGCAUUUGUUGUGCUAGUCAGAUUUCGCAGGUUAUCGAUCGCAUUAUUUCUUCUUGGCGGUCCGGGGGUAAUUAGAGGGAGAUGACUGUUUGG
Long non-coding RNA from Ixodes scapularis (black-legged tick), 729 nucleotides. RefSeq lists it as uncharacterized. The record is from RefSeq and is a predicted model, not a curated record. The transcript is spliced from 4 exons. NCBI's taxonomy places the organism in Eukaryota, Metazoa, Arthropoda, Arachnida, Ixodida, Ixodidae.